This is a long non-coding RNA of Octopus bimaculoides (California two-spot octopus), 937 nucleotides long. Lineage: Eukaryota; Metazoa; Mollusca; Cephalopoda; Octopoda; Octopodidae. The record is from RefSeq and is a predicted model, not a curated record.
GGAGUGUUCAUCUAAAGGCAUGAUUUUCCUUGCAAUUUUUAAAAUAUCCAAAUUAUUAACGGGAUUAAUGUGUAGUGAAAGACAAAUAUAAACUUAAAUGGCACAAAUAAUUACAGCAUUUUUGGGGUGAAUACAUAACUUGACAACCUGAAGAAGAAGAAAAAAAAAACCCAUUCCUGCAGAUGUAGAAAAACAGUUGCUGAAACUGAAAAUCAACCACAUCAAUUCUAGGAGGGACUGCAAAUCGUGGACAUUGCCUCUCCUUCUCUAACUUAUAAAACACAUAUAUACAAAGUACUUAAAUAAGUUAGUCAAAAUUGGUGACAAUGUUCUUGACAUUAAGAAUAAUGAAAAUGAGAGACAAGAAAAUCAAGGAGAAAAAUAGCAUUAGAAAGUGAUUUACUUUAUCGUCAAGUUUCUUGGCUUUAAAACUCAACUGAACCAAUUCUGUUUUCUCUGAGACUUCUUCAGCAGACACCUGAAAUUAUUUUCAGAAAGAUAGAAAUUUUAGUAGAUUGUUAUGAUAUACAUGCAAGUGUUAUUAAAUCUAAAGGUAAGAAUUUUACGUAGAUGGAGAAAAACCAAAAAAAACUUGUAGUGUAUGAUAUAAAAUCAUACAUACAAAACAAUUAAGUUAUGUUGUGUUACUGAAGAAUGACUAUGUUUCCAUUUGUGAUGUAUUCCAAAGGAAUGGGAAGACAUUAUGUAUUGUGAAUGAGAAAUACCAGACAGAAAACAUAAAAGGAAAAGGAGUUAAGUGAAAAAGCUCAAUGGUGUUUUUGUAGCAGUUACCAAUCCCAAAAGAACUCAAGUUGAUAGCUUAUCAGUCAGACAUACUGUAAAAGUGAAUGCCACUGCCCCUUCUCCUCCAAUAAAGUAACAUCAUAAUUCAUGCCAAACUAUAAAUAAAUGGAUUCUCUGUUGGUUUCACUGAUAA